This 253-nucleotide ribosomal RNA is filed under the name uncultured bacterium. RNAcentral's name for it is "partial 16S ribosomal RNA". It matches the Rfam family "Bacterial small subunit ribosomal RNA", at positions 524 to 776 of the family's 1533-position model. The record is from RNAcentral.
UACGAAGGUCCCAAGCGUUGUUCGGAAUCACUGGGCGUAAAGGGUGCGUAGGCGGCGUGGUAAGUCAGAUGUGAAAUCCCGGGGCUCAACCCCGGAACUGCAUCCGAUACUGCCAUGCUAGAGGACUGGAGAGGUGACUGGAAUUCUCGGUGUAGCAGUGAAAUGCGUGGAGAUCGAGAGGAACACUCGUGGCGUAAGCGAGUCACUGGACAGUAUCUGACGCUGAGGCACGAAGGCCAGGGUAGCGAAAGGG